UCCGAGUUGACCCCGGCAGUCUCCUAUGAGUCCCCACCACCCCCGAAGGGGCGUGCUGGCAACAUAGAACGAGGGUUGCGCUCGUUGCGGGACUUAACCCAACAUCUCACGACACGAGCUGACGACAGCCAUGCACCACCUGUCACCGGCCCAAAAGGACCCCGCAUCUCUGCGAGUUUUCCGGCGAUGUCAAGCCUUGGUAAGGUUCUUCGCGUUGCGUCGAAUUAAGCAACAUGCUCCACCGCUUGUGCGGGCCCCCGUCAAUUCCUUUGAGUUUCAGCCUUGCGACUGUACUCCCCAGGCGGAUUACUUAAUGCUUUCGCUCAGACGCGUACAGUGUAUCGCACACAUCGAGUAAUCAUCGUUUAGGGCGUGGACUAC
Molecule: unclassified non-coding RNA, 381 nt
Filed under: uncultured Actinomycetes bacterium
Lineage: Bacteria; Bacillati; Actinomycetota; Actinomycetes
Description: uncultured actinobacterium contains 16S-23S intergenic spacer region
Source: RNAcentral